Molecule: ribosomal RNA, 346 nt
Filed under: uncultured fungus
Lineage: Eukaryota; Fungi
Description: SSU rRNA
Rfam family: Eukaryotic small subunit ribosomal RNA
Source: RNAcentral
GUAGUCAUAUGCUUGUCUCAAAGAUUAAGCCAUGCAUGUCUAAGUAUAAGCAAUUAUACCGUGAAACUGCGAAUGGCUCAUUAAAUCAGUUAUCGUUUAUUUGAUAGUACCUUACUACUUGGAUAACCGUGGUAAUUCUAGAGCUAAUACAUGCUGAAAACCCCGACUUCGGAAGGGGUGUAUUUAUUAGAUAAAAAACCAAUGCCCUUCGGGGCUCUUUGGUGAUUCAUGAUAACUUAACGGAUCGCAUGGCCUUGCGCCGGCGACGGUUCAUUCAAAUUUCUGCCCUAUCAACUUUCGAUGGUAGGAUAGUGGCCUACCAUGGUCUCAACGGGUAACGGGGAAU